CAUAAGAAAGUAUAGCUCUUUUUGUUUGUUUAUUUAAUGUGUUUGCUGCUCAAUUAAAUUAUAGUCUGUUAUCGUGACAAAAUAACUUUUUUUUUAAAUAAGAAGAAAAUAAUUGGUGUUCUGCCUACCUGCCGCUCUGAACACGUCACGUUGGGGCGGCUCUCACAGCAGGUGUGCUCUCUGGGUGCGAGAAGAAUAGAAGGAACAGAAUAGACGCACCUUCCGUUAUUUUCAGGGUGUAUCGACACAAUGAUGGACUUUAGACGCAUAGGCGGGUGUGUGCCGUUAUUUUUUCUGGCUAUUGGUUUUGAUGUUAUUGGUUUUAUUAUCCUGUUCAUUGGAAUUUUUGCCAAUUUGCGUAUCGAUGGCAGGUUUUAUGGCGAUUUCUUGAUUUACAGUGGUUCAAUUAUAAUUUUCAUAAGUUUGGCUUGGUGGAUUAUGUGGUACGUGGGAAAUAUACAGGUCUCAGAAGACAGCUUUGGAACAAGCUUAAUGAAAAAUAAACAGAGUUUUGUACAGUUGGCCAGAAAGUUGUCAGAGAGGCUUUCCAAAAAAUGCAAACAUGAACAUGUAACCACAAAGUAUGCAGAGGAAAACAAGGUUAAAGCUGUGACGCCUUCACCUGUUCACGUCGCCUCUCGAAUAACCUGGGGGAAAUAUCAGAAUGGCGGCUAUGACUCCAGCUUGGACUCCUUUCAGAUGGAGAAGGAAAAACAGACACCAGAUAUACAGAACUUGGAUGUGGAGACCCUCUCUAGGGGUUCUCCGUAGCACUUUCUGAUCCCAAGACUACCUUCAACACUAUACGCUUCACGGAAUGGGACUACAGACAAUUCAGGACAUUAAUCAGUACUGGUCUGGACGUUAGUUCUUGACAACAAAGACUCAUCAUUAUGGGGUGAAAUGACCUAUAGUCCUAGGGAAAUAGACCUACUGUAGAUAUUGCUCUAAAUGCAUGUUAUAUUCUUUUAUCUUUUUAUUUACAUAUCAAUUAUUAAUAUAAUCUCCAUGUGAUGUUAUGUGAACUUUUUAUGUUCAAGGAUCAAUAUUAUGUGGAAAGGCUAUAUUUUGUCAUAUAAAAAUAUCGACUUGUUAAGGUUCAUCGUAGCCAUUUUCUAGAAUAGUCUCCGACGGAAAUCCUAGAGGCCCCUGUCUGAAUGGCAGGUAAUUGAACACAGACUCGCCCCAAGCUAGACCCAGAAAUGCAAUCACCUGCAUUUACAAUUGUUUUACAUAAAAACAGUAGUCAGGCAGGUUUGCCUGUGCCACAACAAUUGCAUUGCCAAAGCAGGCUGUAAACCCGCAACAAAAUGUUGUGUGGCCUGGGGCACUGAGCUUGGUUUCACCUGUAUGUUGACAUUACAUGGACAUUUGGGCUAUACUCUUUUAACUGUUCACUGAGUAGGCUGAUUUUGUUUUUAUUCAUGUGCGCAAACUUCUAAAAUGCAUAUUCCACCAGACUGCAUUUUUUUUAAUGUUGUGAAUUAUUUUAUAUUUUAUUUCUUAAUAUUCUUUAGAUUUCAGUUGCCUUACCAACAUAUAGCUUUUGUCUAACAUGACUGAUAAUGAGCGUGUGCAUAUCAAGUCAUUGUACUCAGGGCGUUGCCUGUCUGUAUGCUAAGUAUUACCUAAUCCUGGCCUGUUGACUCUGCUUUGCGGUCCUUGGUUGAAUAGGUGUUGCACAGAGGUAAACCAAACUCCCACGACUGUCUGACUUGUCAAACCAGGUACUUAAAGGGUGAGGUUUUUCACUGCAGUUCCUCUUUCUGUCAUGAUGUAGGAAGCAUGAAAUAGUAAAUAAUUGUGGAAUGCGUCCAGUAGGCCUUCUGCAGGCUAAAUAUAAACGGCUGAUAGAAUUAGAAUCACUGAAAUAUAUUUUCCCACACUGUUCAUAAUGUUAUAUGUUAUACAUAUAUGCUGAUGUCAUAAUAUUCAUAUGAAAUGCAUUAUUAUUUUAUACACAGAGGCAUGGUGCAUUAGUUAUUUAUUUUAAAUAUACAUCCAAUGUCCAAUGAUCUUGAUAAGCAUACAAAAUAAAAAUAGUUAUCUAAUGAGAUGAUCCAUUUCAAGCACUGUCAUUAUAUUGCUGCAAGUCAGGGAUUGCUAAGGAAUGAGGUUGGACCAUUUGGCCUUUAAGUUUUAAUGUAUCAUUAAGAGUAGUACAACCUGUUGUGGUUGGAUACCAGUUCUGCUGCUGUUUCCUACAAUGGAAGAAUUUGAAGGCGUGCUGAAAAUCAGAAGAAUGCGACUUGCGUUUUAAAAAGGUUGUGGCUGGAAAGGCCUCUCCUCAUUCUUGUAAAGUCCUCAGCCGGCAGGAACCCAGACUGCGUCCAUGUCCCUGUUAUGGAUACCUCUUCUAUGGGUCGCUGUGUUUUCUUUCUCAUCCUGGCUUUGGUCUUUGAUGUUGUUGGUCUGAUCCUAUUUUUCCUGGGGAUCUUUGCUCCUCUGAGUUUCUGGGACUUCUUUGUGCUGUCGGGGCCCCUGCUCAUCUUCCUCAGCCUGGUCUUCUGGAUAUUCUGGUACCUGGGGAGUCUCACAGUGCCUUACGAAGAGCUCAUCUUGCCAAAGUGACACCCAAACAUGGUCAAAGGUGACCCACCUGACCAAUGGCUGGUCCCCUGGACUGACAGCUUGACCCUCACAACUUUAAGGAGUUGACAGAAUUCUGGAUUCUGGGUGUUUGACCAUGUUUCUCAUUGGACUGUGAACCGGAGGCCCUUGUUUUCUUUAAAGAAGGAACCUGUUGGACCCUGGAACAACUCCAGUUGGAAGUGAAGAAUGGCAUAUGCACCCUAUUCUACCCCUAUGAUGAAGAAUGACAAGAUGUCAUGUACAGACAGCCAGGAUUUCAUCUGUGCUGGGUUGAAGUGGGACAUGAGCUCUAAAGCACUUGUGUCCAUCCUUAAAGACUGCAUCAGCACAUAUAACUCAUUUUAUAGUAUGUGUAAAAUAAUAAAUAUUUGUUCAAAUAAAUGUUUCUUUUUAAUGUUUUAUCCUCAAAAAUAAUAUCAGAACGAGAGGCUUCAAAAUGUGACAGACUCAACAUUUUGAAUGACUCAUUGAUUCAUGAAGUGCCUUGAGAGACUAGUCAAGGAUCAUAUCACCUCCACCUUACCGGCCACCCUAGACCCACUUCAGUUUGCAUACCGCCCCAACAUGUCCACAGACGAUGCAAUCAUCAUCACACUGCACAAUGCCCUAUCCCAUCUGGACAAAAGGAAUACCUAUGUAAGAAUACUGUUCAUUGACUACAGCUCAGCAUUCAACACCAUAGUACCUUCCAAGCUCAUCAUCAAGCUGGAGGCCCUGGGUCUCAACCCCGCCCUGUGCAAUUGGGUCCUGGACUUUCUGACAGCUGCCCCCAGGUGGUGAAGGUAGGAAACAACAUCUCCACUUUGCUGACCCUCAACACUGGGGCCCCACAAGGGUGCGUGCUCAGCCCCCUCCUGUACUUCCUGUUCACCCACGACUGCGUGGCCAUGCACGCCUCCAACUCAAUCAUCAAGUUUGCAGAUGACACAACAGUAGUGGGCUUGAUACCAACAACAACGAGACAGCCUACAGGGAGGAGGUGAGGGCGGUGUCAGGAAAACAACCUCUUCAGGAAACAGCAGAGGGAACACCCCCCUAACCACAUCGAAAGGACAGCAGCGGAGAAGGUGGAACGUUUUAAGUUCCUCGUCAUACACAUCACAGACAAACUGAAAUGGUCCACUCACACAGACAGUGUGGUGAAGAAGGCGCAACAGUGCUUCUUCAACCUCAGGAGGCUGAAGAAAUUUGGUUUGUCACCAAAAUCCUGACAAACCUUUACAGAUGCACAAUCGAGAGCAUCUUGUUGGGCUGUAUCACAGCCUGGUACGGCAACUGCACCACCAUCAACCGCAAGGCUCUCCAGAGGGUGGUGUGGUCUGCACAAUGCAUCACCGGGGGUAAACUACCUGCCCUCCAUGACACCUACAGCACCCAAUGUCACAGGAAGGCCAAAAAGAUCAUCAAGGACAACAACCACUUGAGCCACUGCCUGUUCACACUGCUAUACCAUCCAGAAGGUGAGGUCAGUACAAGUGCAUCAAAGCUGGGACCGAGAGACUGAAAAACAGCUUCUAUCUCAAGGCCGCCAGACUACUAAACAGCAAUCACUAACUCAGAGAGGCUGCUGCCUACAUUGAGAAUAAGGCUUAGGUUGCGUUUAUAUUUUUGUUCAGUAUAGUAGCAUCUAUUGUAAGUACAGAAUAUUACGCAGUAGACGGUAUACAAACAUUCAGAAUAUUGAUUCAGUCAAACUCAAACAAGUAACAAUUACAUGUGUGCUUGUGUUAGUUCUUGUAUGUGUGUAUACAAUGUGUGUUCCCUUUACUCACUCUGAGUUGAAGUUUGACUAAGGAGAGGAAGUUUUCAUUGUGCCUAUCCUCCUAUCCGACCCCUGGGAUUCCCCUUGCCCUAAUCAGCACUCUGGGCAGCAUUAGCUCCCUCUGACGCCCUCAUGGAGAGUGUUAUUAAUGAGUCCAUUUGGCUGUGGCCCCGGCCAGAGGAAAUGGAGGAGAGGCAUUAGAGCAGCUUCUCCCCAGGAGCAGUGGUAUGGAGUCCACGCUGCUCAGAGCCUCGCGGGACCCUGGGUUUCCUGCUAAUGCUCGAUUUCAGGUUGUCAUGGUGGCGUGAGUCAUAAACAUCAGUCGCACAUUAUCACUUCACACUCCAGUGGCAGAAUAUUAUAAGGCCUUGACAUGUUGGAGAGGUGAGGUAAGAGUUAUGUUGCCUGUUUUACACAUAGUUUACAAUUGUUUACAAUUAUGGGCUUGUCCAUCAACCUACCACAAAUACAUACUCUAGCAUAUUCUCACACAGGUGAGGCAGUCUUUUAAUACACCUGCGUAUCACUCUUUGGUAUACAAGCAGUUUGUAUACAAAUAAGUACAAGCUGUUACAUACGAACCAUAACAAAACAGAAUAAAUCUUUCACAAAUAUUUGCUCUUGUACCAUGAAAUAUCAAAUCAUUUCGAUGGUAUGAUUGCCAAAUCUAUUGAAAGGGUUACUGCCUACUGUAUGUCGAUAGCAUGUAAGAGAUCCAUAUAGGAAAAAUAAACAUGUGUUGUAAUGAUCAACAUUGUUC
Molecule: long non-coding RNA, 5114 nt
Organism: Oncorhynchus keta (chum salmon)
Lineage: Eukaryota; Metazoa; Chordata; Actinopteri; Salmoniformes; Salmonidae
Exons: 3
Source: RefSeq, a predicted model, not a curated record